CGUAGGUAAUCUUCCCUUGAGCGGGGGACAACGGUCCGAAAGGACCGCUAAUACCGCAUACGUUUCUUGGGACUCCGGUCCUGGGAAGGAAAGCUAGGCCGCAAGGUCCGGCACUCGAGGAGGAGCCUGCGUCGCAUCAGCUAGUUGGUGGGGCAAUGGCCUACCAAGGCGAAGACGCGUAGCUGGUCUGAGAGGAUGAUCAGCCACAUUGGGACUGAGACACGGCCCAA
This 230-nucleotide ribosomal RNA is filed under the name uncultured bacterium. RNAcentral describes it as "partial 16S ribosomal RNA". It matches the Rfam family "Bacterial small subunit ribosomal RNA", at positions 116 to 334 of the family's 1533-position model. The record is from RNAcentral.